Molecule: ribosomal RNA, 487 nt
Filed under: uncultured bacterium
Lineage: Bacteria
Description: partial 16S ribosomal RNA
Rfam family: Bacterial small subunit ribosomal RNA
Source: RNAcentral
GAUGAACGCUGGCGGCGUGCUUAACACAUGCAAGUCGAACGAAGCACUUUUGAUUCUUCGGAAGAGGAAGUGACUGAGUGGCGGACGGGUGAGUAACGCGUGGGUAACCUGCCUUAUACAGGGGGAUAACAGUUAGAAAUGACUGCUAAUACCGCAUAAGCCGAUAGAGUCGCAUGACUCAGUCGGAAAAGAUUUAUCGGUAUAAGAUGGACCCGCGUCUGAUUAGCUAGUUGGUGAGGUAAUGGCCCACCAAGGCGACGAGCAGUAGCCGGCUUGAGGGAGUGAACGGCCGCAUUGGGACUGAGACACGGCCCAAACUCCUACGGGAGGCAGCAGUGGGGAAUAUUGCACAAUGGGGGAAACCCUGAUGCAGCAACGCCGCGUGAAGGAAGAAGUAUUUCGGUAUGUAAACUUCUAUCAGCAGGGAAGAAAAUGACGGUACCUGACUAAGAAGCCCCGGCUAACUACGUGCCAGCAGCCGCCGUAA